Molecule: ribosomal RNA, 253 nt
Filed under: uncultured bacterium
Lineage: Bacteria
Description: partial 16S ribosomal RNA
Rfam family: Bacterial small subunit ribosomal RNA
Source: RNAcentral
UACGUAGGGGGCGAGCGUUGUCCGGAAUUAUUGGGCGUAAAGAGCUCGUAGGCGGUUUGUUGCGUCUAUCGUGAAAACCUGCAGCUUAACUGUGGGCUUGCGGUGGAUACGGGCAGACUUGAGUUCGGUAGGGGAGACUGGAAUUCCUGGUGUAGCGGUGAAAUGCGCAGAUAUCAGGAGGAACACCGGUGGCGAAGGCGGGUCUCUGGGCCGAUACUGACGCUGAGGAGCGAAAGCGUGGGGAGCGAACAGG